This 468-nucleotide ribosomal RNA is filed under the name uncultured bacterium. Its description in RNAcentral is "partial 16S ribosomal RNA". It matches the Rfam family "Bacterial small subunit ribosomal RNA", at positions 28 to 507 of the family's 1533-position model. The record is from RNAcentral.
GACGAACGCUGGCGGCGUGCUUAACACAUGCAAGUCGAACGGAAAGGCCCUGCUUUUGUGGGGUGCUCGAGUGGCGAACGGGUGAGUAACACGUGAGUAACCUGCCCUUGACUUUGGGAUAACUUCAGGAAACUGGGGCUAAUACCGGAUAGGAGCUCCUGCUGCAUGGUGGGGGUUGGAAAGUUUCGGCGGUUGGGGAUGGACUCGCGGCUUAUCAGCUUGUUGGUGGGGUAGCGGCUUACCAAGGCUUUGACGGGUAGCCGGCAUGAGAGGGUGAACGGCCACAUUGGGACUGAGAUACGGAGCAGACUGCUACGGGAGGCAGCAGUGGGGAAUAUUGCGCAGUGGGCGGAAGCCAGAGGCAGCAACGUCGCGUGCGGGAUGACGGGCUUCUGGUUGUAAACCGCUUUCGCAUGAAACGAAGCGUGAGUGACGGUAAUGGGUAAAGAAGCAACGGCUAACUACGUG